GGGGCUAUCGUCUAGCUUGGCAGGAUACCAGCCCGGGGCGCUGGCGGUCGAGGGUUCGAAUCCCUCUGGCCCCA
Molecule: transfer RNA, 74 nt
Filed under: Thermoproteota archaeon
Lineage: Archaea; Thermoproteati; Thermoproteota
Also listed under: 3 other names
Description: tRNA-Pro
Rfam family: tRNA
About the family: Transfer RNA (tRNA) molecules are approximately 80 nucleotides in length. Their secondary structure includes four short double-helical elements and three loops (D, anti-codon, and T loops). Further hydrogen bonds mediate the characteristic L-shaped molecular structure. tRNAs have two regions of fundamental functional importance: the anti-codon, which is responsible for specific mRNA codon recognition, and the 3' end, to which the tRNAs corresponding amino acid is attached (by aminoacyl-tRNA synthetases). tRNAs cope with the degeneracy of the genetic code in two manners: having more than one tRNA (with a specific anti-codon) for a particular amino acid; and 'wobble' base-pairing, i.e. permitting non-standard base-pairing at the 3rd anti-codon position.
Source: RNAcentral